AUUAUGUUUUACUAUGCUCCAAGAACAAGGGUAUGGAUGGUCCUAAUCUAGGCUAGGUGAGGAUAGUGUGGGUAACAAAGAACAUAGGCUACACAAGGCUCAACAGGGUUAAACUUAAACACAUAAAGAACGGGAUAGGCUUUUUGGCUCUUGGCUCACUAAACAACUUCAUCUUGAAUAUGUGUUAUGCAAAUCAAUAACAUGCUUUGAAUGAAAUAGGCAUGAGUUCUAGCAUUUGGAACUAAAUGAUGAAACGACUUCUAAGUAGCAACCAAGCAAAGAAUAAUGAGAUCAUGCAACGACUUUAGAAAACAAUGAUGCACAUAUUAUUAACUCUCCAAAUAAACGUUUAGGCUCAAGUCUCAUAAGGUUGUAGCGUUCAUUUGAGUUCCUUCUUUCAAGCAUGUUACAAAAACUGAUUUUUCCUUUUAUGAUUGCAUGUGAAUUCAUAAAUUACAACCACAACCAAGCAUACACCAAAGAGUAAAUCAAAUUUUCAUCCAUGUUUAUAACUCUCUUUAACAGUCAUGUAAUUAAAAACCAAAUCCUCAUCAUUGUGUUGGAAGGUACCCUAAGACACAAGUAAACAUACAAAAACAACUCUUUUUGGGUUUUUCAAAUCAAUUUU
This 628-nucleotide long non-coding RNA is filed under the name Malus domestica (apple). RNAcentral's name for it is "long non-coding RNA (MDOM_LNC017411)". The record is from RNAcentral. Lineage: Eukaryota; Viridiplantae; Streptophyta; Magnoliopsida; Rosales; Rosaceae.